CACAAAAUUGAAUUUUCUUAUUAAUUCCUAGCAUUUACUCGAAAAAAAAAAAACCGAAGAAGGAAUUAAGACAGACAUAAAACCCUAGCCCCUUUGUAGCCGCCUCCUCUCUCUUUUCCCUUCAUUUUCAUUCAACUUUCAUGUUUUCAAGACAAAAUUUCGAUUCUCUCUCUCUACCAAUCUACACGGCUCCAAGGAUCUCAAGAUUGAAGUUUUCCCACCCCUAAAUCCACUCACACGUAGAGGAGUGAAGAUGAUGAAUAUGGUAUUACCGUACCAAUGUUGUAUGCCAAUGGCCAGAGGUUCACUCUGUCCUGUUGCUACAUUUGAGUAUUGUACCAAGAAGACCAACCUCUGCUUUUCUUCUCCAUUGCUUCUUGGGCGAAAGAUGCCUUCUAUUACUGGAUCAUCAUCGUCAUUACUGACCCAUGUUUCUGAGUCACAUCCAUUGAUGGCAGUUCCAAAAAAACGCACUUCUAUAUCAAAAAAACGAAUUCGUAAAAAUAUUUGGAAAAUGGAGGGGUAUUGGGUAGCAUGGAAAGCUUUUUCUUUAGCGAAAUCUCUUUCUACAGGGAAUUCAAAAAGUUUCUUGUACAACAAGAAAUAAAUAAAGAUGCCUUUAGUGUGUGAGUGGGUUUUGUCUGAUGUUGUUAAGGUAUUAUGUACAUAUUGUUUAGAACUAAAUUGUGGUAUUACUCCUACCCAAAACUAGUAUUGUCUUUCUGAUUCCAUUGAAUUAUUGUUUGAGUAAUCAUCUUCUCUGAUUGGCACCCA
Molecule: long non-coding RNA, 774 nt
Organism: Alnus glutinosa
Lineage: Eukaryota; Viridiplantae; Streptophyta; Magnoliopsida; Fagales; Betulaceae
Exons: 2
Source: RefSeq, a predicted model, not a curated record